GACCGCGUGGCGCAAUGGAUAGCGCAUCCUGACUUCUAAUCAGGGGGUUGUGGGUUCGAGUCCCAUCGCGGUCG
RNAcentral lists this transfer RNA (74 nucleotides) under Pythium insidiosum. RNAcentral describes it as "tRNA-Arg". It matches the Rfam family "tRNA". Rfam says of the family: Transfer RNA (tRNA) molecules are approximately 80 nucleotides in length. Lineage: Eukaryota; Oomycota; Peronosporomycetes; Pythiales; Pythiaceae. The record is from RNAcentral.